This 387-nucleotide ribosomal RNA is filed under the name uncultured bacterium. RNAcentral's name for it is "bacterial SSU rRNA". It matches the Rfam family "Bacterial small subunit ribosomal RNA", at positions 30 to 423 of the family's 1533-position model. The record is from RNAcentral.
AUUGAACGCUGGCGGCAGGCCUAACACAUGCAAGUCGAGCGAGAAAGGUCUUCGGACUGAGUACAGCGGCGGACGGGUGAGUAAUGCGCAGGAAUCUACCUGGUAGUGGGGGAUAACUCGGGGAAACUCGAACUAAUACCGCAUACGCCUACGGGGAAAGCGGGGACCUUCGGGCCUCGCGCUAUCGGAUGAGCCUGCGUAGGAUUAGCUUGUUGGUGAGGUAAAGGCUUACCAAGGCGACGAUCCUUAGCUGGUCUGAGAGGAUGAUCAGCCACACUGGAACUGAGACACGGUCCAGACUCCUACGGGAGGCAGCAGUGGGGAAUAUUGCGCAAUGGGCGAAAGCCUGACGCAGCCAUGCCGCGUGUGUGAAGAAGGCCUUCGGUU